AUCGAACCCGGAGAUAGCUGGUUCUCCUCGAAAUAGCUUUAGGGCUAGCCUCGAUUUAGUCUUAUGGAGGUAGAGCACUGAAUUUCCGCGGGGGCGUCAAAGCUUACCAAAGAAUAUCAAACUCCGAAUGCCAUGUAGAUGAUGAUCGGGAGUCAGACUGCACGAGAUAAGUUGGGCAGUCAAAAGGGAAAGAGCCCAGACCACCGGCUAAGGUCCCAAAGUGCGUGUUAAGUGGAAAAGGAUGUGGGAAUUCGAAGACAACUAGGAUGUUGGCUCAGAAGCAGCCAUACAUUCAAAGAGUGCGUAACAGCUCACUAGUCGAGAGUUCCUGCGCCGAAAAUGUCCGGGGCUGAAACACGACACCGAAGCCGUGGACUCGCAAUGCGAGUGGUAGAGGAGCAUUCUUAAGACCGACGAAGCUGUACCGAAAGGAGCAGUGGAGGGAUAAGAAGAGAGAAUGCCGGAAUGAGUAGCGAGAGAAAGGUGGGAAUCCUUUCGGCCGAAUAUCUAAGGUUUCCAGAGUAAAGCUGAUCUGCUCUGGGUAAGUCGGGGCCUAAGCACAGGUCGCAAGACGUAAGCGAUGGAUAACAGGUUUAGAUUCCUGUACCACGCAUUAUCAGAACUGUAGGGACGCAUGUGGAAAGCACGAGCCGGGAAUGGAAAGACCGGUACAAGCGGGGUAGGAGUACAAUAGGCAAAUCCGUUGUAUGAUCCGAAGACGUGAUGUGGAGCGAAAUAAAGUAGUGAAGCGUGUGAGCCAUGUGCCGAGAAAAGCUGCUAUUGUGUAAUGCGUGCCCGUACCGUAAACCGACACAGGUGGAUGAGGAGAGAAUCCUAAGGCCGACGGAAGAAGCAUUGUUAAGGAAUUCGGCAAAAUGACCCCGUAACUUCGGGAGAAGGGGUGCCUGCGAGAGCAGGCCGCAGAGAAUAGGCUCAAGCAACUGUUUAGCAAAAACACAGGUCUAUGCGAAACCGAAAGGUGAAGUAUAUGGGCUGACGCCUGCCCGGUGCUGGAAGGUUAAGAGGAGAGGUUAGCGUAAGCGAAGCUUUGAAUUUAAGCCCCAGUAAACGGCGGCCGUAACUAUAACGGUCCUAAGGUAGCGAAAUUCCUUGUCGGGUAAGUUCCGACCCGCACGAAAGGCGUAAUGAUUUGAGCGCUGUCUCGACAAUGCAUCCGGUGAAAUUGAAGUACCAGUGAAGAUGCUGGUUACCCGCGCCAGGACGGAAAGACCCCAUGGAGCUUUACUCCAGUUUGAUACUGGGAUUCGGUACUGCAUGUACAGGAUAGGUGGGAGACGAAGAAGGAUGGACGCCAGUCUGUCCGGAGUCGCUGUUGGGAUACCACCCCUGUAGUACUGGGUUUCUAACCAGUUACCAUGAUCUGGUAAUGGGACAAUGUCAGGCGGGGAGUUUGACUGGGGCGGUCGCCUCCGAAAGGGUAUCGGAGGCGCUCAAAGGUUCCCUCAGAAUGGUUGGAAACCAUUUGAAGAGUGCAAAGGCAGAAGGGAGCUUGACUGCGACACCGACGGGUGGAGCAGGU
RNAcentral lists this ribosomal RNA (1540 nucleotides) under human gut metagenome. RNAcentral's name for it is "bacterial LSU rRNA". It matches the Rfam family "Bacterial large subunit ribosomal RNA", at positions 832 to 2398 of the family's 2925-position model. The record is from RNAcentral.